Molecule: transfer RNA, 73 nt
Filed under: Ailuropoda melanoleuca (giant panda)
Lineage: Eukaryota; Metazoa; Chordata; Mammalia; Carnivora; Ursidae
Rfam family: tRNA
About the family: Transfer RNA (tRNA) molecules are approximately 80 nucleotides in length. Their secondary structure includes four short double-helical elements and three loops (D, anti-codon, and T loops).
Source: Rfam by way of RNAcentral
GCCCAGCUGCCUCAGUUGGUAGAGCACGUGGCUCUAGAUCUCGGGGUCGUGAGUUCAAGCCCCACGCUGGGUA